AUUGAACGCUGGCGGCGGGCUUAACACAUGCAAGUCGAGCGGAGAUGAGGUGCUUGCACCUUAUCUUAGCGGCGGACGGGUGAGUAAUGCUUAGGAAUCUGCCUAUUAGUGGGGGACAACAUUCCGAAAGGAAUGCUAAUACCGCAUACGUCCUACGGGAGAAAGCAGGGGAUCUUCGGACCUUGCGCUAAUAGAUGAGCCUAAGUCGGAUUAGCUAGUUGGUGGGGUAAAGGCCUACCAAGGCGACGAUCUGUAGCGGGUCUGAGAGGAUGAUACGCCACACUGGGACUGAGACACGGCCCAGACUCCUACGGGAGGCAGCAGUGGGGAAUAUUGGACAAUGGGGGGAACCCUGAUCCAGCCAUGCCGCGUGUGUGAAGAAGGCCUUAUGGUUGUAAAGCACUUUAAGCGAGGAGGAGGCUACUGAGACUAAUACUCUUGGAUAGUGGACGUUACUCGCAGAAUAAGCACCGGCUAACUCUGUGCCAGCCGCCGCCGCGG
Molecule: ribosomal RNA, 501 nt
Filed under: uncultured bacterium
Lineage: Bacteria
Description: partial 16S ribosomal RNA
Rfam family: Bacterial small subunit ribosomal RNA
Source: RNAcentral